This 18-nucleotide small nuclear RNA is filed under the name Arabidopsis thaliana (thale cress). Its description in RNAcentral is "snRNA_04681". The record is from RNAcentral. Lineage: Eukaryota; Viridiplantae; Streptophyta; Magnoliopsida; Brassicales; Brassicaceae.
UGACUUUAGAACUUUGUU